UGGAAUGGUUUUUGAUCAAAAUCUAUAUGGCCUUUGGAUUGGACUGCGACCGAUCAGGCUGUUGGUGAGGUAAUGGCCCACCAAACCUGUAACCGGUACGGGCUCUGAGAGGAGGAGCCCGGAGAUGGGUACUGAGAAAAGGACCCAGGCCCUAUGGGGCGCAGCAGGCGCGAAACCUCUGCAAUAGGCGAAAGCCUGACAGGGUUAUUCUGAGUGACUUUCGCUAAGAAAGUCUUUUGACAUCUCUAAAAAUGGUGUAGAAUAAGGGGUGGGCAAGUCUGGUGUCAGCCGCCGCGGUAAUACAGCACCCCGAGUGGUCGGGACGAUUAUUGGGCCUAAAGCAUCCGUAGCCGGUUUUACAAGUCCUCCGUUAAAUCCAACUGCUUAACAGAUGGGCCGCGGAGGAUACUAUAAGACUAGGAGGCAGGAGAGGCAAGCGGUACUCAGUGGGUAGGGGUAAAAUCCGUUGAUCCAUUGAAGACCACCAGUGGCGAAGGCGGCUUG
Molecule: ribosomal RNA, 504 nt
Filed under: uncultured archaeon
Lineage: Archaea
Description: bacterial SSU rRNA
Rfam family: Archaeal small subunit ribosomal RNA
Source: RNAcentral